CUCUCUCUAAUUGCAAUUGAUGAGGCUCAUUGCUGUAGUCAAUGGGGUCACGACUUUCGCCCUGACUACAAGAACCUUGGUAUCCUCAAGAUUCAGUUUCCCAAUGUUCCUAUGUUGGCUUUGACCGCAACUGCUACUCGAAAAGUCCAAUAUGAUCUGAUGGAGAUGCUACAUAUACCAAAAUGUGUUAAAUUUGUUAGCACAGUCAACAGGCC
Molecule: unclassified non-coding RNA, 215 nt
Filed under: Hevea brasiliensis (rubber tree)
Lineage: Eukaryota; Viridiplantae; Streptophyta; Magnoliopsida; Malpighiales; Euphorbiaceae
Source: RNAcentral